This 464-nucleotide ribosomal RNA is filed under the name uncultured bacterium. RNAcentral's name for it is "partial 16S ribosomal RNA". It matches the Rfam family "Bacterial small subunit ribosomal RNA", at positions 338 to 795 of the family's 1533-position model. The record is from RNAcentral.
CCUACGGGAGGCAGCAGUAGGGAAUUUUCGUCAAUGGGCGCAAGCCUGAACGAGCAAUGCCGCGUGAACGAGGAAGGUCUUCGGAUCGUAAAGUUCUGUUGAAGGGGAAAAAGAGCGGAGAGAGGAAAUGCUUUCUGAUUGAUAUUACCCUUCGAGGAAGUCACGGCUAACUACGUGCCAGCAGCCGCGGUAAUACGUAGUUGGCGAGCGUUAUCCGGAAUGAUGGGGCGUAAAGGGUGCGUAGGCGGCCUGCUAAGUCGGGAGUGAAAGGUACCGGCUCAACCGGUACAGGCUCUGGAAACUGGCGGGCUAGAGAGCAGGAGAGGGCGGUGGAACUCCAUGUGUAGCGGUAAAAUGCGUAGAUAUAUGGAAGAACACCAGUGGCGAAGGCGGCCGCCUGGCCUGUUACUGACGCUGAGGCACGAAAGCGUGGGGAGCAAACAGGAUUAGAUACCCUUGUAGUC